RNAcentral lists this long non-coding RNA (206 nucleotides) under Mytilus galloprovincialis (Mediterranean mussel). Lineage: Eukaryota; Metazoa; Mollusca; Bivalvia; Mytilida; Mytilidae. The record is from RNAcentral.
GGGGCAAAUUAAAGUUGGUCACAAUGUUCAAGCUUGAUGCUGUCUGAAUUUGGAUUGUGAUUGCAUUUUUGACAAAAUAAAGGUUUUUGUUACAAAAUAAAUGUGGUCAAAGAUCAACAAAUCUAUUGCACAAUACUGUGCAAUUGAAGAUUUCUUCUUGAAAAUUUUCAAAAUUUGAAAUUUGAAAAAAUUUUGAAAAAAAAAAA